This 74-nucleotide transfer RNA is filed under the name Myxococcales bacterium. RNAcentral's name for it is "tRNA-Ala". It matches the Rfam family "tRNA". From Rfam's summary of the family: Transfer RNA (tRNA) molecules are approximately 80 nucleotides in length. Their secondary structure includes four short double-helical elements and three loops (D, anti-codon, and T loops). Lineage: Bacteria; Pseudomonadati; Myxococcota; Myxococcia; Myxococcales. RNAcentral also lists the same sequence under 1 other name. The record is from RNAcentral.
GGGGUGAUCGUCCAACGGGAGGACACUGGCGUGGCACGCCAGAAAUCCGGGUUCGAGUCCCGGUCAUUCCACCA